Molecule: ribosomal RNA, 459 nt
Filed under: uncultured bacterium
Lineage: Bacteria
Description: partial 16S ribosomal RNA
Rfam family: Bacterial small subunit ribosomal RNA
Source: RNAcentral
CCUACGGGUGGCUGCAGUGAGGAAUAUUGGUCAAUGGUCGGGAGACUGAACCAGCCAAGCCGCGUGAGGGAUGAAGGUACAGAGUAUCGUAAACCUCUUUUGUCAGGGAACAAAGGCGGGGACGCGUCCCCGGAUGAGUGUACCUGAAGAAAAAGCAUCGGCUAACUCCGUGCCAGCAGCCGCGGUAAUACGGAGGAUGCGGACGUUCUCCGGAUUUAUGGGGUUUAAAGGGUGCGCAGGCGGGCUGUUAAGUCAGCGGGCACAUCCCGGGGCUCAACCCCGGCCAGCCGUUGAAACUGGCAGUCUCGAGUUGGAGAGAAGGAUGCGGAAUGCGCGGUGUAGCGGUGAAAUGCAGAGAUAUCGCGCAGAACUCCGAUUGCGAAGGCAGCAUGCCGGCUCCACACUGACGCUGAGGCACGAAAGCGUGGGUAUCGAACAGGAUUAGAUACCCGUGUAGUC